Molecule: ribosomal RNA, 548 nt
Filed under: uncultured Glomeromycotina
Lineage: Eukaryota; Fungi; Glomeromycota
Description: SSU rRNA
Rfam family: Eukaryotic small subunit ribosomal RNA
Source: RNAcentral
UUGGAGGGCAAGUCUGGUGCCAGCAGCCGCGGUAAUUCCAGCUCCAAUAGCGUAUAUUAAAGUUGUUGCAGUUAAAAAAGCUCGUAGUUGGAUUUCGGGAUUAGUACGUUGGUCGUGCCUUCGGUACGUACUGGUGUUACUGAUUCCUACCUUCUGACGAACCAUCAUGUCAUUAAUUUGGUGUGGCGGGAAAUCAGGACUGUUACUUUGAAAAAAUUAGAGUGUUUAAAGCAGGCUCGCGCUUGAAUACAUUAGCAUGGAAUAAUGAAAUAGGACGUUGAUCCUAUUUUGUUGGUUCCUAGAAUUGACGUAAUGAUUAAUAGGGAUAGUUGGGGGCAUUAGUAUUCAAUUGUCAGAGGUGAAAUUCUCGGAUUUAUUGAAGACUAACUACUGCGAAAGCAUUUGCCAAGGAUGUUUUCAUUAAUCAAGAACGAAAGUUAGGGGAUCGAAGACGAUCAGAUACCGUCGUAGUCUUAWCCAUAAACUAUGCCGACUAGGGAUCGGAUGAUGUUAUUUUUAAUGACUCAUUCGGCGCCUUACGGGAAACA